This 253-nucleotide ribosomal RNA is filed under the name uncultured bacterium. Its description in RNAcentral is "partial 16S ribosomal RNA". It matches the Rfam family "Bacterial small subunit ribosomal RNA", at positions 524 to 776 of the family's 1533-position model. The record is from RNAcentral.
GCCGGAGGAGGCAGGGGGUAUCCGGAAUUAUUGGGCGCAAAGGGUACGUAGGCGGCUGGUCAAGUCUGGGGUCAAAGGCCACAGCUCAACUGUGGGAAGGCCCUGGAAACUGAUCGGCUAGAGUGAGGUAGGGGUUGCGGGAAUUCCCGGUGUAGCGGUGAAAUGCGUAGAGAUCGGGAAGAACACCUGAGGCGGAAGCGCGCAACUGGGCCUCAACUGACGCUGUGGUACGAAAGCUAGGGGAGCUAAUGGG